Molecule: ribosomal RNA, 253 nt
Filed under: uncultured bacterium
Lineage: Bacteria
Description: partial 16S ribosomal RNA
Rfam family: Bacterial small subunit ribosomal RNA
Source: RNAcentral
UACGUAGGGUGCGAGCGUUAAUCGGAAUUACUGGGCGUAAAGCGUGCGCAGGCGGUUUUGUAAGCCAGAUGUGAAAUCCCCGGGCUUAACCUGGGAAUGGCAUUUGGGACUGCAAGGCUCGAGUGCGGCAGAGGAGACUGGAAUUCCUGGUGUAGCAGUGAAAUGCGUAGAGAUCUGGAGGAACACCGAUGGCGAAGGCAGCCUUCUGGGCCAACACUGACGCUCAUGCACGAAAGCGUGGGGAGCAAACAGG